Molecule: ribosomal RNA, 497 nt
Filed under: uncultured bacterium
Lineage: Bacteria
Description: partial 16S ribosomal RNA
Rfam family: Bacterial small subunit ribosomal RNA
Source: RNAcentral
GAUGAACGCUGGCGGCGUGCCUAAUACAUGCAAGUCGAGCGAACAGACGAGGAGCUUGCUCCUCUGACGUUAGCGGCGGACGGGUGAGUAACACGUGGAUAACCUCCCUAUCAGACUGGGAUAACUUCGGGAAACCGGAGCUAAUACCGUAUAAUAUAUUGAACCGCAUGGUUCAAUAGUGAAAGACGGUUUUGCUGUCACUUAUAGAUGGAUCCUCGCCGCAUUAGCUAGUUGGUAAGGUAACGGCUUACCAAGGCAACGAUGCGUAGCCGACCUGAGAGGGUGAUCGGCCAAACUGGAACUGAGACACGGUCCAGACUCCUACGGGAGGCAGCAGUAGGGAAUCUUCCGCAAUGGGCGAAAGCUUGACGGAGCAACGCCGCGUGAGUGAUGAAGGUCUUCGGAUCGUAAAACUCUGUUAUUAGGGAAGAACAAAUGUGUAAGUAACUAUGCACGUCUUGACGGUACCUAAUCAGAAAGCCACGGCUAACUACGUG